CUGCUGGAGUUGUAGGAGGCUGGCUGACAGAACCCAGGGAGAACCCAGAACCCUGAGCUGGUUGCUGUGACUCAAUUAGGACAAGACCCUGAGGAGUAAGGGGAGUUCCCAUCAACUUUGGGAGAUGGUGCAGAGAAGUGUUAUGGGCAGCCACCGAGGAUGUACACAAGUUAGGAACAG
This is a long non-coding RNA of Dermochelys coriacea (leatherback sea turtle), 180 nucleotides long. RefSeq lists it as uncharacterized. The transcript is spliced from 2 exons. Lineage: Eukaryota; Metazoa; Chordata; Testudines; Dermochelyidae. The record is from RefSeq and is a predicted model, not a curated record.